Molecule: small RNA, 117 nt
Filed under: Caulobacter vibrioides NA1000
Lineage: Bacteria; Pseudomonadati; Pseudomonadota; Alphaproteobacteria; Caulobacterales; Caulobacteraceae
Description: small non-coding RNA
Source: RNAcentral
ACGACGGGCGCCUAGCGCCCGGUCGUGGACGGUGUUGCGGCGUGGCGAUUACCCCCCGCACCGGCCGAGCGCCGUCCCGGCGUCGCGAGCCUUGUCGGAGGUUCGCGACGCCAAAAG